AUUGAACGCUGGCGGCAGGCUUAACACAUGCAAGUCGAGCGGGGUGAUGGUGCUUGCACUAUCACUUAGCGGCGGACGGGUGAGUAAUGCUUAGGAAUCUACCUAUUAGUGGGGGACAACAUCUCGAAAGGGAUGCUAAUACCGCAUACGUCCUACGGGAGAAAGCAGGGGAUCACUUGUGACCUUGCGCUAAUAGAUGAGCCUAAGUCGGAUUAGCUAGUUGGUGGGGUAAAGGCCUACCAAGGCGACGAUCUGUAGCGGGUCUGAGAGGAUGAUCAGCAACACUGGGACUGAGACACGGCCCAGACUCCUACGGGAGGCAGCAGUGGGGAAUAUUGGACAAUGGGGGGAACCCUGAUCCAGCCAUGCCGCGUGUGUGAAGAAGGCCUUAUGGUUGUAAAGCACUUUAAGCGAGGAGGAGGCUCUUUUGGUUAAUACCCAAGAUGAGUGGACGUUACUCGCAGAAUAAGCACCGGCUAACUCUGUGCCAGCCGCCGCCGUAA
RNAcentral lists this ribosomal RNA (503 nucleotides) under uncultured bacterium. RNAcentral's name for it is "partial 16S ribosomal RNA". It matches the Rfam family "Bacterial small subunit ribosomal RNA", at positions 30 to 523 of the family's 1533-position model. The record is from RNAcentral.